RNAcentral lists this ribosomal RNA (592 nucleotides) under Enterobacter cloacae. Its description in RNAcentral is "partial 16S ribosomal RNA". Lineage: Bacteria; Pseudomonadati; Pseudomonadota; Gammaproteobacteria; Enterobacterales; Enterobacteriaceae. The record is from RNAcentral.
UGACGGGUUGCGGUCGUUGCGGGACUUAACCCAACAUUUCACAACACGAGCUGACGACAGCCAUGCAGCACCUGUCUCACAGUUCCCGAAGGCACCAAUGCAUCUCUGGAAAGUUCUGUGGAUGUCAAGACCAGGUAAGGUUCUUCGCGUUGCAUCGAAUUAAACCACAUGCUCCACCGCUUGUGCGGGCCCCCGUCAAUUCAUUUGAGUUUUAACCUUGCGGCCGUACUCCCCAGGCGGUCGAUUUAACGCGUUAGCUCCGGAAGCCACGCCUCAAGGGCACAACCUCCAAAUCGACAUCGUUUACGGCGUGGACUACCAGGGUAUCUAAUCCUGUUUGCUCCCCACGCUUUCGCACCUGAGCGUCAGUCUUUGUCCAGGGGGCCGCCUUCGCCACCGGUAUUCCUCCAGAUCUCUACGCAUUUCACCGCUACACCUGGAAUUCUACCCCCCUCUACAAGACUCCAGCCUGCCAGUUUCGAAUGCAGUUCCCAGGUUGAGCCCGGGGAUUUCACAUCCGACUUGACAGACCGCCUGCGUGCGCUUUACGCCCAGUAAUUCCGAUUAACGCUUGCACCCUCCGUAUUACCGC